RNAcentral lists this small RNA (906 nucleotides) under Pan troglodytes (chimpanzee). RNAcentral's name for it is "processed transcript". Lineage: Eukaryota; Metazoa; Chordata; Mammalia; Primates; Hominidae. The record is from RNAcentral.
AAGAAGGCAGUGUGGCUGGAGAAGGAGGAGAAGGCCAAGGCGCUGCGGGAGAAGCAGCUCCAGGAGCGCCGGCGCCGGCUGGAGGAGCAACGUCUUAAAGCCGAGCAACGCCGUGCAGCCCUGGAGGAACGUCAGCGGCAGAAGCUCGAGAAAAACAAGGAGCGCUAUGAGGCAGCCAUCCAACGGUCAGUGAAGAAGACGUGGGCCGAAAUCCGGCAGCAGCGCUGGUCCUGGGCAGGGGCCCUGCACCACAGCUCUCCAGGACAUAAGACCAGUGGGAGCAGGUGCUCCGUGUCGGCAGUUAACCUGCCCAAACACGUGGACUCUAUAAUCAACAAGCGGCUCUCAAAGUCCUCUGCCACGCUCUGGAACUCCCCCAGUAGAAAUCGCAGCCUACAGCUGAGCGCAUGGGAGAGCAGCAUCGUGGAUCGUCUGAUGACGCCCACUCUCUCCUUCCUUGCUCGGAGUCGCAGCGCGGUCACACUGCCCCGCAACGGCCGGGACCAGGGUAGGGGCUGCGACCCUGGGAGAGGCCCCACGUGGGGCCGGGCAGGGGCCAGCCUGGCGCGCGGGCCGCAACCCGACCGCACUCAUCCCUCUGCAGCCGUGCCGGUGUGCCCGCGCUCGGCCUCCGCCAGCCCCCUGACGCCGUGCAGCGUCCCCCGAAGCGUGCACCGCUGCGCCCCCGCCGGUGAGCGCGGGGAGCGCCGCAAGCCCAACGCCGGGGGCAGCCCCGCUCCGGUGCGCCGCCGGCCGGAGGCCUCGCCGGUGCAGAAAAAGGAGAAGAAGGACAAGGAGCGGGAAAACGAGAAGGAGAAGAGUGCCCUAGCCCGGGAGCGCAGCCUCAAGAAGCGCCAGUCGCUGCCCGCCUCCCCACGUGCCCGCCUCUCCGCCAGCACCGCCUCU